UUUUCUGUGAAAAUCUCAGAGAAAUUUAUUGCAAAAGUCAAUCUGUAUGCAACAUAUAUAUGUGUAACAGCAGCCAUCUGUAUUAUUAAUAACAUUACAGGAACAUUGGGUUUGUUUCCCUUUUAAAAUGUUUUAUCACCAGGUUUAACUUACAUACUUUUUUACUUACAUUAAAAAAAAAAAAAAGUAGAGAAGACUGAGGCCCUUUUCUCUUUGAAUGUGCAGUAUUGCUGCAUGCUAUUAACACUGUUUCUGGCAAAUACCCGCAGAGUGGAUAGAGGAGGAUUGUUCUGUCAAAAUGCUGUGAACACAAACAUGUUUUUAGUGGGGUUUAUGAGCUAAAAUGAGAGCAGUGUGGGAUCCUGUACAGAGCAAUGGUCAGGGCUUAAACCAAAUCUCCAGUCCUCUUCCAUUGGAUUACUUCGUGACUCAUUUCCCCUCUGGUAAAUAACAUAUGAAAGUCUCUGUUAUGUCACAUUAAGUUUCACUUUCUCAGGUUCUUCCGGAGUCCUAUCAGUUCAGUUUUCCUGUGUUUGGCCACCUGACCAAAUCAUUCCAGCCUCAUCAGUGCUAGCACACGUCCCUCCAGCAGAUGGCAGAUACUGCUCAUCCAAUGCAACCCCGACACCCUGCUCAGCACGUCAGCCGUGGGACCCGGAACACCAAUAAAACAGGAGCUAAAUCUUUAAUGUACGUAUAUUUCAAAAUGAUCUUGAUUAAAGCACAGUUAAAGUCUGGCAUAUUUAUGUUUUUAUGCAGUGCAGAAUUCCUAGAUGUAUGUUUCUCUUUAUGAUUUCUUGAAAAAAAUACUUAUGCUAAGCAAAGAUAAGCGAUCUAGCUGUUGAAAACAAACUUUUCUUAGUAGGGCUUGUUUAUGGCAUUUGAGUACAAACAUUUCCUGUUACUGAAUCACAUGAAUUGCUACUGACAAUGUAAAUUAAGAUCUGAAUUCUUUCAGACCAGAAUUCAAUUGGGUGUUUUUUUUAACGGGGGCAACUCAUACAAGCCUGGCCAAUAUAUAGCAAAUUUCAAACCCUGAUGUACUUCACAGUAACUCUUGAAAGUGAGUCUAUUUUUACUGUCAUUCUUCCUACUGUACUCAUUAAUUCCCUCUCUCCCUUAUUUAAGUCCAGAAAGUCUGAGGAGUUACAAUGAAGUUCACCUCAUGGUGUAAGAAGCUGACAGAGAACUCUGAUUUCAGUAACGUGUUUCAUUGUAUUAUUUCCUGUCCAUUGCUUAAGAGAAAUAUUCCAGCUGGAGAAAGACAGGGCAAAAGAAAUAGUAGGAGAUAGCUAGAUAUCUGCAGUCAAAAUUCUGUGACCUCUCUCGUACACUUUGAAUUAUUUUCCAUAUCUGAGCUGUGGUAUCAAAGCCCAUCCUCUGCAGGAAUUAUAUCCAAUUUCCUUUCUGUACAUCUAGACUUUUUUUCAGGAGCCAUUCAGCUGAGAAAACCAGAACUAUUUUUGCUUGGGGUCCUUGGCAUGCUAUGCUAAGGAAACUAUAACAGUAUCAUGAUUUUUUUUGAUUGAGGGUUUGAUUUUUUUUCUUUGCUGUCUGGAUCUUGUUGCAUGGUCAUCCAGGAGGCCAUUUCAUUCCAACCUUUUAUUUUAAGUUUUCUUCAUUAUUGUUUCUGAUCUUGUCUUCAGGACUCUCUUCAGAGAAUGACCAACUUCUGAAAGCAUAGAGGUAAUUCCUAGGCAGUAUCAUCACUCCUGAACAGAAAUGUUACUCUGAUGUUUAACAUAUAUAUUGAAGUACUCCACGAACACCUAGAAAUAAACAGAUCUGGAAAUUCUUAAUUCUGAUAAGAAGUUUCUUGGCAAAACUAGAUAAUAGCAGAUGAUGUUUUAUUUAUAUUAUUACUAUUGCUGUUACUACUGUGUGGAUAGAAGUUCUACCCAUGCUUACUGUUGAACCCAUUUCAUCCACCGAAAAUAACCACAAACAACUGUGAAGGACUUUUCCAUUGAGUAUCCAGCAUAAACUUGAAUGACACAGCAGCUGUUUAUGCUGAAGACAAUUUAAUCAGAAUAAGAGUUUCAGAAUUUGCUUUUGAAAUAAAGGUAUUUCCUCUGAGAUAUAUGCCAAAGGCUAAGAAUUGAAGCCAUGAGCAAGUCCUGUUUCCUCCUGCUUUGUAACUAGCAGGGAUGAAUAUCUCCAGGAUAACAUUUAACACUUUUCAAAGUCCUACUUUCAGGCCAGUGUGACAUAUGACAUUAAGUGUUUAUUAAUGCCUGCCUUCAGUAUGUAACGUUGAACUGCUAGACUUCAAAGAUGGAUAAGAAGACAAACAGCUUUUCUAUUCUAGGUUAUACGUGCAGUCAGAUGGGGGACUCAGGUGGCAGGGGAUACAUUGUUGAUCUUCUCGCAUCACACAGUUUCUUGUGCAAUAUGAUUUUUGUGAAGAAUUGGCAGCAAGUGACAACCCGUCAUAAAAUGCCUUCUCAGGAGCCAGUAUACUUGCAAAAUAUUUUCUUCAUUCUUCUAUACAUACUGUGUUGCUGUGUCAUCUCUCUGAUAAGGAUUAGGAGAUUUGUUUGGGUUUUGGUCUGGUUUGUUAAGAGCUAAUUGUUGAGUGCUCCUUACUUUUUGUGUGUCUGGAAGGAGAGAAAGACAAAGGAAGGGAAAAAGAUAAAGCUUGAAUGCCUAAGCCCCUUCUUAUCUUCCCUUCUUCCCUCUUCAUUGCUGUAGGCAUUGGCUGUCUGAAACAUGAAUGUUUUCAUGCAUAAAGUAAAACAACAAUCCUCUUGAUCUUAGGAGAGGUAGUUUUUCUUUCUUCUAGAAUGAAAACGUAUAAGCCUGAUGUGGCAUAAAUAGUGCUAUAUGUAACACAUUUAUCAUUCCUGCUCUGUUCAUCUAUACAGACCGAGGCAUGAAAGAAUAAAGCAGGAAAACAGCGGUAAGAAAGAGGAACUAUUGAGGUUUAAAUCUGAUUUAGCACUGCUGGCAGUUCUACUCUGUGGGAUUACAAUCAGCAUUACUUUACAUAAAUUUGCUUACACUAUCUGAUUUUUAAAAGUAACUUGGAAAUUGGCUGUGUCCUGGACUUUUGAUUUAGGCGUGAGAUCUCCUAAGCACAAAGUUCCUCUAUCCCCGCAUUGCUGGAACUUUAUGUACAGUAUUUCCCAGAUUGAGUAUACACAGGAGCAAGGAGUGGUGGAGAAAGGGCAGUCUGAGCCCUGUUGUGAUUUAGCACAAGUAUGAAAAAUGCAGUCUGAAUCCAGUUGGAUGUAGUAGGAGAGGGAGCACUCUUGUCGCAGUACCCGAGAUUGCAUAGAGUUGGGCUUGAGUUUCUCAGCCGUACUGCAAAGCACUGCAAUCAUCAGACAACCACAUUCCCUUCCACUGGUAGCUCCCAUGGGAGAUAGGUACCUGAAAACUUUGAAGGUCUGCGUCUACUGUGUCAUCAUCUUGGUUUCUCAAAAUCUUCCCUGGAUUCUCUGUGCAAAUACAGAGUGCUUCCUCUUAAUAGUUAAUUUUGUUUGAAUCUUUAAGACUGUAGCUCCUUAUAGUUACUGUGUUGUGCAAGCAGCUAUAUAAACAUUUGCUGUUAUUAUUUAAUGUUUUUCUUUUUCCUUUUCCAUUUGAUCUUCUCCCAGAUUAGACUGCAAGUCUCUUAGGGCAGGGACAGCAUCUAGUUGAAUUUCUGCAGGGCCUGCUAAAAGCAGCUUCAUAGGUUUCUAUGGUUCCAUAUAUAUAUGACUGAAGAUGUAGACAUCUGGACCGAUGCUCCUGCUAGGGGCCAAGUGCUGCCAUCACUUUCUGCAAGAGCAUACAACAAGACCUCCCAGCACCCUCACAGAGGAGAGAGAAGCUCUUCAGAAGAACCCUGAACCAGAACACAACAGCAGCAUUACUUCAUUGAUGAGACAACACAAUUAAUCAUAGUGUGGAAAUGCUUGUUUGGUGAACACAAGCAUCAGUCAGAAGGUCCCGAGCCUUCAUGGAGGUGGCUUUCAUCUCCACUCAUCCCAGCAAGGCUGUGCAUUCCUGUCACAGAAGAUCCCUGACACUGCGGAUGGGAAAUCCUUUCUGAUCCUGUCAGAUUGUCUGGGAGAAAGGUGCUGGUGAGAAGCAGUUUGUUUGUAGGGUGAGAGUUUGGAGAACCAGCAUCAGUCCCGAAGUGCUGAAGGUUUCUGCAUAUCCUGGUGGCCUGGGGUCAACCCUGGAGAUGCAGAGGCUCAUCCCAACUGCAGUGAAAUGUCCAUGACCACUCACAGGGAGCUGGAUCAGGAGGCCAAUUUAGCAGAAAACCAGCACUGGAAAAUGCAAACAGUUGGGUGCUGGUUUAGCUCUCCAGCCUCAUUCAUUGUUGAGUAGCAAAGAUAAUCAGUACAAGAAAAUGUUUGAGAGAAAUUUGGAAGGUGUGAUAGGAAGGUGUCCUUGUCCUUUUAAGCAGCAGCUGGCCAGAUGUGCUGCACAGAUGCUGAGGCAGUGGAGAAGCUGAAGCACCAUCUGUCACUCUACAGGGGAUUCCAUUUGUCUGGAACAUAGGGAUCAUAACUCCCUGUCCUCCUCAGCCUGCCCCUCGAACCAGGCAGCAGGAACACUUGUCCAUUCCUGUGCUAUACAGACAACACACAGUUUUUACCUCAGUACAACACACUGUGAGAAAAAUAGCCCCAAAUUGUGUUCUUUUGCAUCUGCUGAAUGUAGAUCUACGAAUCCAUCGCUCCUGCCAUCUGUGCUUGUCCAAGAGUCUGGUAAAACUGGCAUUGGAAUUCUCUUCCUAGAAUGGAAAGACAUGUGGGGUCAUUCCUAUAGCUAAUAAGGUGGAUAAUACUCAAAAUUAUGUCUACCAUUAGUGGCUGGACCACUAGUAAGUAACGCAGUAUCUUUAACCUUCCAACAAUAAACAUGAUGGAAACGGACACUUCCAGAAAUCCUUGUGGGGAAUUAUAGGCUCCCUUAAGAUGAGCUGAGGAGAGAAAAAUAAAAUUGUGCCUGAAGAAGCAUGACACAAAGAAAACCAGAUGAACCUGAAGUCCACUGAAAAUAUGUAUGCUGGUCCCCAUUUUGGAUGCAGCCAAUGGAUGCCACCAAUACCCAAAAGACCUUCCUCACAUUCCAGCUCUCUGAAGGUGGUGCCCUCCUACAGGCUCUGAAAACAGCCUGCCUGGGCCUUUGGAGUCAGCUUCCAUGCUCCUGACACUCACAGCUCUGUUUACAUUGCAGGAGGAAUAUUGAGAACUAUAUUUGGUAUUCAGUGUUUCCAUACUAAUAGAGUUGUCUAGAUGGCCACAACUCCGCACAAUCAUACUGCUACUGUUUCCUCAUCUACUGAUGGCACUCAUGCUUUCUUCCAUUUCCAGGAUCCUCUGGCACCAACUCCUGCGUGCUUCAUCCUUCUGUCCCUCUCUACCCUUCACUUUCUUGAUCCCAAUACUCCAGCUUCUCCUUAUGCAACUGAGAACAAAGCUAUAAAAAGAAGAUAUUUGUUUCUAUGUAAACUCUGUUUUCAAAGAUAACCAACCAACCAACCAACCAACCAAAAAAACAACCACCUUUAGUACUGCAAACUUUUAAAUCUUUUAAAAUAUUUCAGUGCCUGACAUUGAAUCUACUUGCAUUUAAACUUAGGGUAUGUGCAUGGGGGUGGAGUACUGUUCUGGUACACAGAGUUAGUAACAUAAACAAAGAGAAACCAACACCAGUGGGACAAGAACAAACCACAGCACAGUCCAGAGCAACUCCACUUCGUACUCUAUUUUGUAAUCCCUAACUUUUUAUCUUUAAUCUUGUUUCUAAAUUCACUUAUUCAGUCGGCAAGUACUUACACUUUUCAUAGCUUUCCACAUGGAAGACACAUGACUGAAAGUUGGGGGCUGAGGCCCUGAUCCUUUGACACUUACCAUUGGGUGUUGAAGAGGUCCCCAGGAUCUGCAAAAAGUGCAUGUUUUACAGGACUGUGAUCCUAAAAUGUAGGAGCUUCAGCAUAGGGCACGUGUUCCAUUUGUUUUGAAAAUGCUAUGGUGUUGUGCAGUUAAAUAGAAGUGAUGUGUGAUAGUGGUCAUAGCAUUGCUAUUCAUGAAGUAAUCGUGGUCAUGUUUUCCUUAAAAAGUUGUAUUUAACCAAUACCCCUCAUUACAUUAUGCUGUAACUUCUGACUGUGUUCUCAAAGUGAUACCCUGUGUAAGAAGUUUUCAGUGCCUCUUUUCAUUCUUUACAUAGUGGCAAUAAAUUUUGGCAACUCUAAAGAGCAGAACUGGUACCUCGAAAGCAUUAGAAAGGCCAGCACUACCUACACAGGCAUGCCAUUGCAUGAAGGCCUGGGCUGUCUUUGUUCUGUAAGUUAUGAGCUCAUAUGUCAACAUGGGAAAACAGAUGUUUAAAUGAAAAAAAUAAAGAAAAUGCAGAAUGAGGAAUACAUCCAAGUUCCUUUGGCAUUUGUUCAGGUGUUUCACGGACUGAGCUAAUGGUGAUCCUGUGGACUGGCUGAUUAUCAUUGGAGUCAGAUGAUCUUGUUGUAACUGUAAAAAGAAAAAAGCAAUUUUACUCAAUGCAUACAUCUUUAAUUCACUGCUGUGCUUAAUUAAAAUAGUCUUUUGCUGUCUAUUAUGAGAAGGUUAGAAGUUAAUUGACAGAAUGCACUUAAUCAUUUUCUGUGGAAGAAAAAAUUGUGUCAUCAGGUGGUCCUCUGUGCAAAAACAGCAGCACCUCCUGCACAUUCAGUGCAGACAUUAUGCUCAGCCUUCAAAGCUCUGUAAAAUCAUUUCACAUUUUGUCCAUUGAUGAACCCCUUCCAGACCCAGCUUUUACUUACCCAUGAAUGAAGUGUUGCCAUGAUUAUUUUUUUGCUUCAAGAGACGCAUCCUUUUGUCGCCUUCAUUUCCUCCAUCUGAUCCCAUGUUACUAGCUACUCGUAAGUUCAUGGCCCAUGGUGUGACAUGCCAUGUCUCUGUCUAUGAAACCAACAUAUUCCUAAAGAGUCAAUUUUAAUAGGCAUUUUAUUUUCAUCUUCCCAUGGACUAUUUUUCCUUUGUUGCCUUAAGCUGAUAUGUUGCAGGAUGAUUCACAUACUUGCUUUCUCUGACUGGAAUGUAAAGUAUUCAGUUAGAUAUCAAAUAAUACUUUUUCUUCUCUUGCUCUCAGCUUUAAAGAACAAACAGAACUUUCUAUCUCAAGGAAUCACUUUUAUUGUGACUUUGGGACCCCAUUUUGCCAGUUCCUGGUUUUCCUACACUUCUCUCAGACAACAUUCAGGUAGUAUCUCUCUAUGUUCAAUGGAACAUUUUGCUAGAAAUUUAUAUUAAAGCCAUCAGUUAGAUUCCAGUCUUCAGACUGGAGAGUUUCUGCAGCAAACCUUGCUGUGUUUUUUGAAAGCUGUGAAUCUACUGGCUGCAAAGGGUGGUUAAUUGCCUGUGCUAUCUUAAAAUUUAUGCUGAGGAAUUGGUUAGGUACAUUUACCAAAUGUAAUAAUAGAAUAAUCUGAUAAGGCCUCUCUCGCUGAACUGUUUGCCAAAAGAUGUGUUUAUAGUAUUACUUCAACAUUCUUGCAUUUUAUUAAUUUCAUUAUUAAGUCAUUUUUACCCAAUACAAUUCAUCAUGACCUUAAAAUGAAAUGAAAACAAAUGGUGCCAGAAGUAAAAGUCAACAAGGAAAGGAUGAUACAUGGCUUUCAUCCAUUUGUCCAGAGAAAUAAGAUUAAAGGCUAGGUUUUCAGCUGCUCUAAAGCUGUGCUCAGCCCAGCUGGGAGGGGUGGGGGAGCGUGGCUGUGAGCUGCAUUGUCUCUUCUGCCUGGGAAAAUACAGUUUCCAGAGAAACUGGGAGUUAACAUCUAUUAGACCAGCCCUGCACCUCACCAUGCCUACUAGUAGCACACUGGUCUUCCCAGCUUCCUAAUUUCUUGGUUUUAGUUUGUGUCUCCAGCUUGAGAGCAUCCCUUUCAUUUUUGCCAGCACCUGACUGGCCUCAUCUCCUGGCAGCUGUCAGUGCCAAGAUGGCCCUUCUCCUCUGGACCUGGGGCAGAAAACCAGAAGCCGGCAAAGAUUUGGUCUAAAAAGAGAGUAAUGCCCCUCUUCAGAUACUGAAAGGCUGCUACCAGGUCACCUCGGAACCUUCUCAUCUCCAGGCUGAACAGCCCCAGCUCUCUUAGCCUGUCCUCAUAGUGAAAGUGUUCCAUCUCUUGGAUCAUUUCCGUGACCCUCCUCUGGACACUCUCAACAGAUCCAUGACUCUCCUGAACUGAGGACUCCACAUCUGGGCCCUGUUCUCCAGAAUAAAUCCAAGAGGCAGAGCUCUAAGAACAGGGAGAGCCCUGCAGAAAUGCAUGACUGAAAGGGAUGAUGAGGAAACACAGAAAAGUGGGACUCAGAGUGUAAUGAAUGCUUGAGGUACAGAAAGGUUCUUGUUAUGAAAGUUUCUAAUAUGGAUCUAAGCACUGUAUAGAGAUCAACGAGAUGAGCGUCACAAUUCUGGAUACUCCUAUAGUAAAAGGCAGUCAAAAGGAAGAUAAUUUAAAGUGCAAUAGAAAUACUUGUGGAACAAAAAGGUUUAAAGGAUAUACUACGUUUCCAGAGAAGGCAGGCAUCAGAUGAUCAGAUCCAGUUAUGAAACAGAUAGCUUUCCCCACAGAGAGCUUUGAGCUUUUGUCAGA
Long non-coding RNA from Gallus gallus (chicken), 8596 nucleotides. NCBI's taxonomy places the organism in Eukaryota, Metazoa, Chordata, Aves, Galliformes, Phasianidae. The record is from Ensembl.